This 497-nucleotide ribosomal RNA is filed under the name uncultured bacterium. RNAcentral's name for it is "partial 16S ribosomal RNA". It matches the Rfam family "Bacterial small subunit ribosomal RNA", at positions 28 to 507 of the family's 1533-position model. The record is from RNAcentral.
GACGAACGCUGGCGGCGUGCCUAAUACAUGCAAGUUGAGCGCUGAAGGUUGGUACUUGUACCAACUGGAUGAGCAGCGAACGGGUGAGUAACGCGUGGGGAAUCUGCCUUUUAGCGGGGGACAACAUUUGGAAACGAAUGCUAAUACCGUAUAAAAACUUUAAACACAAGUUUUAAGUUUGAAAGAUGCAAUUGCAUCACUCAAAGAUGAUCCCGCGUUGUAUUAGCUAGUUGGUGAGGUAAAGGCUCACCAAGGCGAUGAUACAUAGCCGACCUGAGAGGGUGAUCGGCCACAUUGGGACUGAGACACGGCCCAAACUCCUACGGGAGGCAGCAGUAGGGAAUCUUCGGCUAUGGACGCAAGUCUGACCGAGCAACGCCGCGUGAGUGAAGAAGGUUUUCGGAUCGUAAAACUCUGUUGGUAGAGAAGAACGUUGGUGAGAGUGGAAAGCUCAUCAAGUGACGGUCACUACCCAGAAAGGGACGGCUAACUACGUG